UACGGAGGGUGCAAGCGUUAUCCGGAUUCACUGGGUUUAAAGGGUGCGUAGGUGGGCAGGUAAGUCAGUGGUGAAAUCUCCGAGCUUAACUCGGAAACUGCCAUUGAUACUAUCUGUCUUGAAUUAUCUGGAGGUGGGCGGAAUAUGUCAUGUAGCGGUGAAAUGCUUAGAUAUGACAUAGAACACCAAUUGCGAAGGCAGCUCACUACGGAUAUAUUGACACUGAGGCACGAAAGCGUGGGGAUCAAACAGG
Molecule: ribosomal RNA, 253 nt
Filed under: uncultured bacterium
Lineage: Bacteria
Description: partial 16S ribosomal RNA
Rfam family: Bacterial small subunit ribosomal RNA
Source: RNAcentral